Molecule: ribosomal RNA, 253 nt
Filed under: uncultured bacterium
Lineage: Bacteria
Description: partial 16S ribosomal RNA
Rfam family: Bacterial small subunit ribosomal RNA
Source: RNAcentral
UACGAAGGGGGCUAGCGUUGUUCGGAAUUACUGGGCGUAAAGGGCGCGUAGGCGGACAUUUAAGUCAGGGGUGAAAUCCCAGGGCUCAACCCUGGAACUGCCUUUGAUACUGGAUGUCUGGAGUUCGGGAGAGGUGAGUGGAAUUCCGAGUGUAGAGGUGAAAUUCGUAGAUAUUCGGAGGAACACCAGAAGCGAAGGCGGCUCACUGGCCCGAUACUGACGCUGAGGCGCGAAAGCGUGGGGAGCAAACAGG